Molecule: ribosomal RNA, 764 nt
Filed under: uncultured organism
Description: bacterial SSU rRNA
Rfam family: Bacterial small subunit ribosomal RNA
Source: RNAcentral
CACCAAAGGCGAAGGCAUUGCACUGGGCUGGUACUGACCCUGAGAGACGAAAGCGUGGGGAGCAAAACGGAUUAGAUACCCGUGUAGUCCACGCCGUAAACGAUGGAUACUAGAUGUUCGGGGAUUCGACCCCCUGGGUGUCACAGCUAACGCGUUAAGUAUCCCGCCUGGGAAGUACGGCCGCAAGGCUAAAACUCAAAGGAAUAGACGGGGAUCCGCACAAGCGGUGGAGCGUCUGGUUUAAUUUGAUAGUAAGCAAUGGACCUCACCAAGGUUUGACAUCCUAUGACAACCCUGGAAACAGGGCUUCCUUCGGGCAUAGUGACAGGUGCUGCAUGGUCGUCGUCAGUUCGUGCCGUGAGGUGUUCCGUUAAGUCGGGAAACGAACGAAACCCUCGUCGCAUGUUACAAAUUUCAUGCGAGACUGCCCGGGUCAACCGGGAGGAAGGCGGGGAUGACGUCAGAUCAGCAUGGUCCUUAUACCUUGGGCUACACAGGCGCUACAAUGGCCGGUACAAAGGGUUGCAAAACCGCGAGGUGAAGCUAAUCCCAUAAAGCCGGUCCAAGUUCGGAUUGGAGGCUGCAACUCGCCUCCAUGAAGUUGGAAUCGCUAGUAAUCGUGGAUCAGCCAUACCACGGUGAAUACGUUCCCGGAUCUUGUACUCACCGCCCGUCACACCAAGAGAGUUGGUAGCUCCUGAAGCGUCGCAUUAGCGGCACCACGGAGAGAUCAGCGAUAGGGGUGAAGUCGUAACAAGGUAACC